ACUGAGGAAUAUGCACACUCUUGUGAAGGUUGCAUAUUUAAUAAGUAGGAGAGGUCUGUGAAAUGGCACUUGUGUCUGUAUGCCAAUUCACUUCUUGUUUGAUGAAUGUUCCCUGAUUUUCUAUGUGGGAAUGGAGCUCCGAGUUGCUCUAGGCUGGGCUCUAAAUUUAUCUGCUAGACCACCUUGUGUGGUACAGCAGUAUCUUGUCAGAUAGUACAAACUAAACAAGAUUGGGCUUGAUUAGCCCUGGUUAGGGAAGCCCUUAGGGAAAGCCAGUGUUUUCUGAAGGAAGCUGCCCUAGUGAUUAGGUGGGUGAGCUCUUCUCUUAGAAGCCUGUUUUGGUGGGCAUUGGAGGACAGCUUUUUUUCCAUGUGCUGUCUUUAAGACCAUAUUCUGAAUAAUCAUUUUUAGAGCAUGUCACUCUUCAGAAAAACUAUCAAAACCCCAUGGGUGUUUUGAUUAAAUACCCUGAGCAAAUACAUAAAUCAUACCUACUUAAGCACUUUCCAUACAGUCAGUUUUAAUUUCCUGAGUCUCCCAUUUCAUUCCCUGUGUGUCCUACUCUACUGUUACAUAUACUCUACUAGCUGUAGUGUUGCAUCUUCUAGUAGCAGAUGAAAUUUUUCCAUUCCUUUUGAAAUAAGUAAUAUAUUUUGAGAUACAGUAGAGUGGAAGAAGUCAAUGUAAUGAAGACACAGUUUAGCAAUUCAGUAGGUUUAUCUUACUGAUGAGAACUUUUAGAAUACUGCCAAAUUAGUUCUUCACUAGUUAAGAUGUCCUAUUUUCUGGCCUUAGAUUUUUAUUUAUUCUUGGAAAUUGAACAGUUUUGAAGAAAAAAAAAUCAACAUAUUAUUUUUGGUAAAAUAGCCGUCAAUUUUAAAUAUAUUUCCAAAGGUAGUGAGGGAUUAUUUUAGCAUAAAGCAUCUCAUUACAAAGAUUUUCCACAAAUAUACUGUAAGGUUUGCUGUUGCUAUUGGCCAUCAGAUGUACCAGCAGCAACAUACAAAUGCAGCAAGCAUCACUAGAACAGUGUUAACCUGGGUUUCUCACUGGAAAUAGAUUUGGUGGUUUCAUUCUGUUUCAUAGGCAGCAAAUUUGAAAAAAGGACCUGAAUAUGGUUGAUGCAAUUGAAUUUUUAAGACACCCUUGUAAGUCACAGAAUUAUAAAGAAAUGAGAAAAUCCCUUAAUUGCAACAAGUUCCCCAAUGCAUAAAAGGACUAUCUGGCAGAGAAAAUUGGCAGUGUGCUGGUGAUCAGAUGUAACAGCUGGAACACUUCUAUUCAAAGUACUUUAGGAGUAAUAAACCUAAUAAUUUAUCCACAAACUGCUGUGAUAGCUGUAAUUCUGCUUUGUUAAAAAUCUUUCUUCCCUAUACUUAUAUAUGUUAUAUAUAUUUCUAUUUUGGCCUAACAUUUUUACAAAUGUGAAAGAGGUUAAUGCUAUUUUUGAUACAUAUUGCAAGCUUUUUGUGUCAAAAUAUUUUCACCAAAGUUUAGGAUAAUUAGUGUAUUUUUAUGAUACUGAGAAUUCCUUUAUGAAUUGCUGUUUGUUGCUACUUCAUUUCCAUGUUAAUUUUCUGUCUUUCAAUCACUUACUAUGUUGCUUGGUAUGGUACAUCUUGGAAAAGGUAAGUGUGAUGACACUUCACUGAUUAUGUAAAUGCAAUGACUGUAGAUUUGAUUUUCUUCUCUUGAUCUUUUUUUAGAGGUGACAUCUACAAAGUAUUGCUUAUAUUUUUCCUUGUGUAUUCAGUAUGUAAACCAAUACCUUCUGGUAAAGAGCAGGACUCAUUACUGAGUUAUAUAGAAAUUUAUUUCUUUUUCUGCGGACCUCUUAUGAAAAAAAAAAAAAA
Long non-coding RNA from Taeniopygia guttata (zebra finch), 1853 nucleotides. NCBI's taxonomy places the organism in Eukaryota, Metazoa, Chordata, Aves, Passeriformes, Estrildidae. The record is from Ensembl.